AGAGUUUGAUCAUGGCUCAGGAUGAACGCUGGCGGCGUGCCUAACACAUGCAAGUCGAGCGAUCUUCUUCGGAAGAGAGCGGCGGACGGGUGAGUAACGCGUGGGUAACCUGCCCUGUACACACGGAUAACAUACCGAAAGGUAUGCUAAUACGAGAUAAUAUGCUUUUAUCGCAUGGUAGAAGUAUCAAAGCUCCGGCGGUACAGGAUGGACCCGCGUCUGAUUAGCUAGUUGGUAAGGUAACGGCUUACCAAGGCGACGAUCAGUAGCCGACCUGAGAGGGUGAUCGGCCACAUUGGAACUGAGACACGGUCCAAACUCCUACGGGAGGCAGCAGUGGGGAAUAUUGCACAAUGGGCGAAAGCCUGAUGCAGCAACGCCGCGUGAGCGAUGAAGGCCUUCGGGUCGUAAAGCUCUGUCCUCAAGGAAGAUAAUGACGGUACUUGAGGAGGAAGCCCCGGCUAACUACGUG
This 472-nucleotide ribosomal RNA is filed under the name uncultured bacterium. Its description in RNAcentral is "bacterial SSU rRNA". It matches the Rfam family "Bacterial small subunit ribosomal RNA", at positions 8 to 507 of the family's 1533-position model. The record is from RNAcentral.